This is a non-coding RNA of Schistosoma mansoni, 45 nucleotides long. Lineage: Eukaryota; Metazoa; Platyhelminthes; Trematoda; Strigeidida; Schistosomatidae. The record is from Rfam.
AUCCGGCUGACGUGUCCCGAAUAGGACGAAACACUCAUCCUGGAU